UACGAAGGUGGCGAGCGUUGUUCGGAUUCACUGGGCAUAAAGGGCGCGUAGGCGGUGCCGUAAGCGGCGAGUGAAAUCCCAGGGCUCAACCCUGGGACUGCUCGCCGGACUGCGGUGCUCGAGUGCGGGAGGGGGGUGUGGAACUCUAGGUGGAGCGGUGAAAUGCGUAGAUAUCUAGAGGAACACCGGUGGCGAAAGCGACACCCUGGCCCGCAACUGACGCUGAGGCGCGAAAGCGUGGGUAGCAAACAGG
RNAcentral lists this ribosomal RNA (253 nucleotides) under uncultured bacterium. RNAcentral's name for it is "partial 16S ribosomal RNA". It matches the Rfam family "Bacterial small subunit ribosomal RNA", at positions 524 to 776 of the family's 1533-position model. The record is from RNAcentral.